AGAAUCAACGCUGGCGGCGUGCCUAACACAUGCAAGUCGAACGCGAAAGUCCCGCAAGGGAUGAGUAGAGUGGCAAACGGGUGAGUAACACGUGGGUGACCUGCCUUCGAGCGGGGGAUAACGUCCCGAAAGGGACGCUAAUACCGCAUGAUAUCCCGCCUUUGAAGAGGUGGAGAUCAAAGCUGGGGAUCGCAAGACCUAGCACUUGAAGAGGGGCCCGCGUCUGAUUAGCUAGUUGGUGGGUAACGCUCACCAAGGCAACGAUC
RNAcentral lists this ribosomal RNA (266 nucleotides) under uncultured soil bacterium. RNAcentral's name for it is "partial 16S ribosomal RNA". It matches the Rfam family "Bacterial small subunit ribosomal RNA", at positions 26 to 281 of the family's 1533-position model. The record is from RNAcentral.